RNAcentral lists this transfer RNA (70 nucleotides) under Stictochironomus akizukii. RNAcentral's name for it is "tRNA-Glu". The record is from RNAcentral. Lineage: Eukaryota; Metazoa; Arthropoda; Insecta; Diptera; Chironomidae.
UUUUAUAUAGUUUAAAACAAAAACAUUAUAUUUUCAUUAUAAAAAAAAAGUAAAAAAACUUUUAUAAAAU